This 3348-nucleotide long non-coding RNA is filed under the name Triticum aestivum (bread wheat). RNAcentral describes it as "long non-coding RNA (TAES_LNC001761)". Lineage: Eukaryota; Viridiplantae; Streptophyta; Magnoliopsida; Poales; Poaceae. The record is from RNAcentral.
UUAUCUGAUUAUAUAAUGGUGAGAUACAAAGAUGGAACAGGGUGCAGCACAAGGAAAGUGGAUGAGUAUGGAUGCACCCCUUACCUCAUGAAAGUGGACCUCAAGAUGUAUUCUAGCCACUAAAACCUUCACUGGUUAGUGUUCGGUCCUAUGUUCUUUCCUUGCAUUUGGACUUUACAGAUACAGUUUUAGAUAUACAAUGUUCUCUUGCAUUAGUAGUAUAAUUUAUGGACUGCACAGACCGACUAAUUUCUCAGUGGACGAUACACCUUCAAGUUGAUGUAAGCACAAGAUUAAGUUGAUUUAUACCACAUUUCUGUAAGAAAAAAUCAAGUAGAAUUGAUUGCCACCAGAAUUGCUUGGUUCACUGGAUUAACAUCUUCUACGAGCUCAUGUUUGAGAGAAAAAAACGUCUAGAAGCUCAUCGCAUUUCCAGUCUGACAUGUAAAUGGGUUACAACACGCUUUGUAGUUGUUUGUUUCAUCAGAAGUUAUGGUUGAUGUUAAUUGUUUUUUGUUCUGCACAUUAGUGUCUCCUAUGUUUGGUAAUAAGCACAUCUUAUAUGAUCCGCUCCACUCUGCGGUGGUGGCAAGCACAAUAGUGAGUGGAGGUUGAGGGGAGAUUGGGUGGCACAUGGCAGUGCCUGCCGACCGGGAGAGUGCGCGGGAGGAAGAAGUAAUAAAGGAAGAAGAAGAAUAGUGCCGCUUGCACGUUAGCCGUCGGACGGUGACCGAACGUCCUAGAAUUUUUUCCAGACCCGUGUUAAAUAGGUGCUCCCUUUUUAUUUUAUUUUCUUCUAUUGGGAGAUGGACCUUGUACACUUGGAAAUUACAAAAGAUGUUUUUUAUCUCAAAAAAGGGAGAUGCUUUUUAACACUAGAUCUUGUGAUAGCCAGUGCAAACCAUCUGUGUUGAUGUUUUGCACCCAUCCUUCUUCUAGACAGACUUGUGCAUGAACUUGUUAGGAUUGUUUUGGAUUUUUUUCUCAAUCUGCAAUGAUUCUGUUGUUGUUUCAAUCUAAUCUACCAAUCAUGUUCCUCGUCUUAUUUUGAUCCUUCAGUCGCAAAGAUCCUAAAAUGAAAUAUGCAGAUAGAUAGAUAGAUAGAUAGAUAGAUAGAUAGAUAGAUAGAUAGAUAGAUAGAUAUAUAGAUAGAUAGAUAGAUAGAUAGAUAGAUAGAUAGAUAGAUAGAUAGAUAGAUAGAUAGAUAGAUAUAUAGAUAGAUAGAUAGAUAGAUAGAUAGAUAGAUAGAUAGAUAGAAACUAACUGUGUAGCUUUGCGGCCUCGUUUGACAUUGUGCAGGAAACGGAGCUUUACUAUUAAUUGUUGAACGAGGCCACGAGCAAUGCAGCCUCUACCAUUACAUGUUCGCCUGCGAUUUUCAAACUGAUGAAUUUGGAGUAGAGACACUAUUGAAGUACACAUACCAAUCACCAGGUAUUACAGAUUUCCAACCAGCUGUAUAUGAAAUUGAACAUUCUUUCUGGUAUCUGAAACUUCAUGAACUCUAAACAAAUGAGUUAGAUUGUAGUCAGAGAUUUUGGAAAGAGGCCAUCCCAUUGUAGAUCAUGGAAAAAUAUUUAUGAGCUAACAAUUGAUGAUAUUCAUUAACCUGUUUCACUCUAAGUAAGAAGAUAAUGCAAAUAAAAAGAUACUCAAGCCUGCAUAGAGUCCAUUGAUAUGGAAAAAACAUUGUGGUUGUAAUACUCAGUUACUCACCUAACAGAGUUUGAUCCUGCUCACACUUAUUCCAGCUUUCCGUUGCUUUCCUUGUUUGAUCUAUGCACGUAGAUAAAGGAGUUAGAAGGAGGAAUUGAACACAUGAAGAGAGAGGGGGGGGUAAUAGAGAGGAAUCUUCUAUAAUCCACAGGGCAGAGCACAAUGCGACUUCCUCUGCUCGCUACAAACCCCUUUGCAUCGUCCAUAGAGCAGAGCACAACUAGCAGCUCUGUAGUGACGCAACACUUCUGCUACCCAUCCAAAGAGUAAACCCUUCUUCAUCCACGCCAGAUAUAGUGCAACUCAGCGUUGCACCCCUUACUAUUUUCCCUAGAGAUCCAACAUCUUCUGUUUUGAGAAAUACUAUAGUUUUUGAGAUUACCAUAGUUUUAUUUACAAGGAGGUGUUUGGUUUCCCUUAAAAUUGAGGUUUUAAUACUAUAGUAUUUGGUAAAUCAUGGUUUUACCUCUAUAUUAAAAAAAAGAGCCCUGGACCUCUUUUUAAAAAACAGAGCAGCCGAAAAGAACCGGCAUGGCACCCUAUUAUCCUCUCCCCCUCUAUUCUCUGCAGCUCGCCUCGCUCUCCAAGAAAACUCGCCUUGCUCCCACACCCUGCCUCCCUGAUCGAGUGUCCUUUUUGAUAACCACAAGCCUUGAGCACGGCUGUUCAGUGGAGUUGAGUUUAUGCAAGCUUCGGUUGUUAUGCAUGCGGAUGGUAUGGACUGGCCAGCUGGCUAGCUAGCUAGAAAAAUGUGCUGCUCUAUAGACGUGUGCAUGGAUAUUCUUUGGCCGGUCUCUACAUGCAACGGCUAGCUCCGCUAGAAAAACAGACAUUUCGCAGCUAGUACAACUAAUUUUACAAUGAUGUGUCAAACGUCUUCUAUGUAUUAAUACUUUAAAAUACUCUGAUAUGUCAAUACCACGGUAUUCAUGCCUACUAGCUAAAUUACUAUAGUUUUUUGAUACUUUGGUUUUUGCAAUACUUUACUGUCAAACACAGGCUAAGUUGUUUCUUCAUUUGUACCAUCUUAUCUGUUCAGGUUGGCAUCACACUGGAAGAUCUUCUGGUCAACACGUAGUUGUACAAGUCAACUAGGAUGUCUACAUGGUGAUUCUUCUGUUCAGUGACAACACGAUCAAGUGGGGUGAGGCUUGUCUGUGGUCUUUCAAGCAAUACAAGUUUGAUGACUCUUCUGCUAGAGACACGUGGCCCUGUUUGAAUAAUGCAGCUUCACAAGAUGGUGGCGAGUCUGGUAUUCAGAACAUCUCAUGAAUAUGGCAAUGCCAUUCAAUGAACGGCUGAGCAGAAAUAUACAAAAGUGUGAACCUGCCAUUGUUUCCUAGACAUAGCUGUAGCCGUAAGUCAAGCUCAUACCGUUAGUGUAGCUUAGUUUGAAGACAUAACAUCUUAUUAUCUGAUGUAAAUUAUAUUUACCAAUGUGGCUGGUUGUUACUGAACACAUCUAUGGAUGUUGAGAUCUUGAAUUUUUUGUCUUAAUGUGUUUGAGGUAUGCAAUUGAACCUUGAGUGAAAUGAUGUAUGAUGCAUGGGCAUAUUGUGAUUGGAUUCUAAAUCGAGGAUAUGUUGCCCAGAACGGCCAGAUUGUUUUUGAAACAAAACAGGAUGACAUAUU